RNAcentral lists this long non-coding RNA (450 nucleotides) under Gossypium raimondii (Peruvian cotton). RNAcentral's name for it is "long non-coding RNA (GRAI_LNC006938)". The record is from RNAcentral. Lineage: Eukaryota; Viridiplantae; Streptophyta; Magnoliopsida; Malvales; Malvaceae.
UCUUUCUCCGUUGUUUCGGCUAUUAUAAAGCCAAAUCAAAUCUGUAAAAGGGUUACACAGACAUAUAUUGAAAAAUACUGAAAUACGAAAGAAAAGAAUCAGGAAAAAAACAAAUUUUUGAAGGUGAUUUGUUCUUUCCAAGUUUUUUUUACUGUUUCUUUUUUUUGUCUCAUCUUUUUCUUUUGUAUUUUACUUCGUUUUUUUGAGAAAGAAAACGAAAAGUAAAAGAAAGGGAGGAGAUUCUUACCAGCAGAGGCGCGCCAUCGGUAUCGUUUGCUUCAUUUGUCCAAAUCAAAGUUAAAAGGGAGGGGGUUUUGGCGUGAGGAGUUGGGAAGAAGAUGAAACAAUUUUUGAAGCUGCUGCAGAAUAGCUUUAAAUUUGAGAUUGAAAUGGGUUUUAAGCACUUAUGGGUUAUUUAUGCUUUUAAUCCUCUCAUGUUUUCAUUAUUUC